This 492-nucleotide ribosomal RNA is filed under the name uncultured bacterium. RNAcentral describes it as "partial 16S ribosomal RNA". It matches the Rfam family "Bacterial small subunit ribosomal RNA", at positions 29 to 507 of the family's 1533-position model. The record is from RNAcentral.
AGUGAACGCUGGCGGUAGGCCUAACACAUGCAAGUCGAACGGCAGCACAGUAAGAGCUUGCUCUUACGGGUGGCGAGUGGCGGACGUGUGAGGAAUACAUCGGAAUCUACUUUUUCGUGGGGGAUAACGUAGGGAAACUUACGCUAAUACCGCAUACGACCUACGGGUGAAAGCAGGGGAUCUUCGGACCUUGCGCGAUUGAAUGGGCCGAUGUCGGAUUAGCUAGUUGGCGGGGUAAAGGCCCACCAAGGCGACGAUCCGUAGCUGGUCUGAGAGGAUGAUCAGCCACACUGGAACUGAGACACGGUCCAGACUCCUACGGGAGGCAGCAGUGGGGAAUAUUGGACAAUGGGCGCAAGCCUGAUCCAGCCAUACCGCGUGGGUGAAGAAGGCCUUCGGGUUGUAAAGCCCUUUUGUUGGGAAAGAAAAGCAGCAGGUUAAUACCCCGCUGUUCUGACGGUACCCAAAGAAUAAGCACCGGCUAACUUCGUG